Molecule: ribosomal RNA, 169 nt
Filed under: uncultured Clostridium sp.
Lineage: Bacteria; Bacillati; Bacillota; Clostridia; Eubacteriales; Clostridiaceae
Description: partial 16S ribosomal RNA
Rfam family: Bacterial small subunit ribosomal RNA
Source: RNAcentral
UCUCCUACGGGAGGCAGCAGUGGGGGAUAUUGCACAAUGGGGGAAACCCUGAUGCAGCGACGCCGCGUGAGUGAAGAAGUAUUUCGGUAUGUAAAGCUCUAUCAGCAGGAAAGAUAAUGACGGUACCUGACUAANAAGCACCGGCUAAAUACGUGCCAGCCGCCGCGGU